Molecule: long non-coding RNA, 966 nt
Organism: Mirounga angustirostris (Northern elephant seal)
Lineage: Eukaryota; Metazoa; Chordata; Mammalia; Carnivora; Phocidae
Exons: 3
Source: RefSeq, a predicted model, not a curated record
GCGGAGGGUUUCUAGAUCCUGCAGCCGGGUGGUAUGAGAUGAGCAAAGAUCACGUGCGUAGUUGGCAGAUCACAGCAUCAUCCCCAGACACCCCCCGUUUCUGUAGUUCACCCCAUGUGGGGGGUGUCCUGUGACAUCUCCAGGCACCUUUUACACAGGCAAACAAGAACAUAGAGGGAGCAGAGAUGGGCCCCUGAGGGCUGGCGAGUGACAACUCCUUGCUGGGGAGGGGACACCAUGAUCCUAUACCACCCAGGCUGCUCUUGGUCCCCAGUCUCUGAGAAUCGCAUGUCCUCUGGCCGGAUUGUCAGGACCUGCGAAUCCAAGGCCACAGGCCCAUCCCCGACUUCCCAAGGGACAAGCAGUGGAGGCACUCACUUUUCAAGGGGCCAGAGGGACUGUCACUGUAGCAAAAAUGGCCAGAGCUGCCUGAGCCCCCGGAGAUGGAAGUAGACCCCUGGGCAGACAAACCCCUCACCUAGCCGGAGGCCACCCUGGAUGGGGGAAGGGGGAUGGCCUCGUCUCUUCAUAUUCUGCUGACAUGUCACUGUGCCGAUCUGGGAGGACACAGGUGUCUUUCACAGUGGACCAGCAUCACCUCGAGAGCCUGUCCAAAAUGCAGAUUCCCAGCCUCCUCCCCAGUUCCAGUUCACGAGGCUGGGGCGCACUUGGAAUCAGCAUUCUGAGUGAGCAUCUCAGGCGCCCACCAGGACCCGCUGAGAAGUGCUGGCCCAGAGCCGCUCCUGCGGGAACAGCGAGCAGGCCUGAGGGCGCUGCAUCCUCCAGACACUCAGAGGAGCUGCUGAUACCGACUCCUGUUCUGAACAGAGGGGACUGCUACACAAGGUGAGCGCGGGGCCGUCAGAGCAAACCCCACAGGCCGGCUGCCCUCCCGAGUCUCCCGCCGCCCCACCUGCACCCAUGGCCGCAUCCCACACCGAGCUGACCAGUACCUGCCAUGGAGGA